ACCGCUCCUCGGCCUUUUGGCUAAGAUCAAGUGGAGGAUCUGUUCUUAGGUUUAAUAUCUACCCGAGGCCAAUGCAGUCAAUGCACUUCUGGGAUCAGGAGUUGGAGUAGGAGCUUCCUCCGUCCACCCCAUGCAUUGACCUGGUAUUGCAGCACCUGCAGGAACGGUGCACCCCUC
Small nuclear RNA from Ochotona princeps (American pika), 177 nucleotides. Its record names the gene U2. It matches the Rfam family "U2 spliceosomal RNA". Rfam says of the family: U2 is a small nuclear RNA (snRNA) component of the spliceosome (involved in pre-mRNA splicing). Complementary binding between U2 snRNA (in an area lying towards the 5' end but 3' to hairpin I) and the branchpoint sequence (BPS) of the intron results the bulging out of an unpaired adenosine, on the BPS, which initiates a nucleophilic attack at the intronic 5' splice site, thus starting the first of two transesterification reactions that mediate splicing. The record is from Ensembl. Lineage: Eukaryota; Metazoa; Chordata; Mammalia; Lagomorpha; Ochotonidae.